Molecule: ribosomal RNA, 253 nt
Filed under: uncultured bacterium
Lineage: Bacteria
Description: partial 16S ribosomal RNA
Rfam family: Bacterial small subunit ribosomal RNA
Source: RNAcentral
UACGGAGGGGGUUAGCGUUGUUCGGAAUGACUGGGCGUAAAGCGCGCGUAGGCGGACCUGCAAGUCGGGGGUGAAAUCCCGGGGCUCAACCCUGGAAUGGCCUUCGAGACUGCCGGUCUUGAGUUCGAGAGAGGUGGGUGGAAUUCCGAGUGUAGAGGUGAAAUUCGUAGAUAUUGGGUGGAACACCGGUGGCGAAAGCGGCUCACUGGCCCGAUACUGACGCUGAGGCACGAAAGCGUGGGGAGCAAACAGG